GGUGCUAAAUAGUGACCCGUUUAUUAACAGUGAUGAGCAGGGUCAGGUGCUAAAUAGUGACCAGUUUAUUAACAGUGAUGAGCAGGGUCAGGUGCUAAAUAGUGACCAGUUUAUUAACAGUGAUGAUCAGGUGCUAAAUAGUGACCAGUUUAUUAACAGUGAUGAUCAGGAUCAGGUGCUAAAUAGUGACCAGUUUAUUAACAGUGAUGAUCAGGUGCUAAAUAGUGACCAGUUUAUUAACAGUGAUGAUCAGGAUCAGGUGCUAAAUAGUGACCCGUUUAUUAACAGUGAUGAUCAGGUGCUAAAUAGUGACCAGUUUAUUAACAGUGAUGAUCAGGUGCUAAAUAGUGACCAGUUUAUUAACAGUGAUGAUCAGGUGCUAAAUAGUGACCCGUUUAUUAACAGUGAUGAUCAGGUGCUAAAUAGUGACCAGUUUAUUAACAGUGAUGAUCAGGUGCUAAAUAGUGACCAGUUUAUUAACAGUGAUGAUCAGGAUCAGGUGCUAAAUAGUGACCAGUUUAUUAACAGUGAUGAUCAGGUGCUAAAUAGUGACCAGUUUAUUAACAGUGAUGAUCAGGUGCUAAAUAGUGACCAGUUUAUUAACAGUGAUGAUCAGGUGCUAAAUAGUGACCAGUUUAUUAACAGUGAUGAUCAGGUGCUAAAUAGUGACCAGUUUAUUAACAGUGAUGAUCAGGUGCUAAAUAGUGACCAGUUUAUUAACAGUGAUGAUCAGGUGCUAAAUAGUGACCAGUUUAUUAACAGUGAUGAUCAGGUGCUAAAUAGUGACCAGUUUAUUAGCUCGUUAGCAGUAGCCGUCACAUGAAAACAUGUUGCAUUGUGGAAUCCAUCGAAGACCAGCCUCAGCGUCUGACAUGCUCAGUCAGUUCGUCCUCUUGAUACGUGACAGGAAGUCAGCGAGUCAAUCAACCAAUCAGUGAAUCCUCUUGAUGCGCGACAGGAACAUGGGCCCCCAGGUCUGACCCUGCUGUGGAACAACAAGGAGGCCUAACGAGGGGUGUGGCCUAACAGGGUGAAGGUGAAGUGUUCCUGGAGUGGAAGGGCUAGCUCCUCCUCCAGGUCUUGAAGCUCCACCCCUGGACAGGUGUUUAGGACCGCC
Molecule: long non-coding RNA, 1117 nt
Organism: Oncorhynchus keta (chum salmon)
Lineage: Eukaryota; Metazoa; Chordata; Actinopteri; Salmoniformes; Salmonidae
Exons: 9
Source: RefSeq, a predicted model, not a curated record